This 253-nucleotide ribosomal RNA is filed under the name uncultured bacterium. Its description in RNAcentral is "partial 16S ribosomal RNA". It matches the Rfam family "Bacterial small subunit ribosomal RNA", at positions 524 to 776 of the family's 1533-position model. The record is from RNAcentral.
UACGUAGGGUGCAAGCGUUAAUCGGAAUUACUGGGCGUAAAGCGUGCGCAGGCGGUUUUGUAAGUCUGUCGUGAAAGCCCCGGGCUCAACCUGGGAAUUGCGAUGGAGACUGCAAGGCUUGAAUCUGGCAGAGGGGGGUAGAAUUCCACGUGUAGCAGUGAAAUGCGUAGAGAUGUGGAGGAACACCGAUGGCGAAGGCAGCCCCCUGGGCUAACACUGACGCUCAGGCACGAAAGCGUGGGGAGCAAACAGG